UACGAAAGGGGCAAGCGUUGUUCGGAUUUACUGGGCGUAAAGGGCACGCAGGCGGUCUCGCCAGUCAGGGGUGAAAGCCCGGGGCUCAACCCCGGAACUGCCUCUGAUACUGUGAGACUAGAGACUAGGAGAGGGUGGUGGAAUUCCCAGUGUAGAGGUGAAAUUCGUAGAUAUUGGGAGGAACACCAGAGGCGAAGGCGGCCACCUGGACUAGAUCUGACGCUCAGGUGCGAAAGCGUGGGGAGCAAACAGG
Molecule: ribosomal RNA, 253 nt
Filed under: uncultured microorganism
Description: partial 16S ribosomal RNA
Rfam family: Bacterial small subunit ribosomal RNA
Source: RNAcentral